UCAAACUUUGAGCUGUUAUUCCACUGGAAGCAAAAUUUCCGACUGUAACAAUUUUACUUGUGUUUAGAUACAAAUCAAAAUUUAAAUUAAACUUUGACCUUUUCUUGUUGGACUGUAACCGCAACGGCAUGGUUAUAUAAUAUUCCAUACACGCCCCAGGCUCUUGUCAUUAGUUGAAAUGCUCAUUUCCGGCAAAGAGUUGCGCAUUUUAAUUAAGUGGCAACGCCCACGACCCGCUCACCUCUGAGCCAACGGCCAACGCCCACCUGCGCUUGCAGUCGGUCGCAAAGUCGGGCGGCGUCUUCAUUUACAAGGCGCUAAUGCUAAUUGUAAGUGGAAUUAACGCAGAUUAGCGGCGAAUUUUUAAGGCGCAAACAUGCAAAACGCACAAUUAGUUCAACGGCUGUUAGGGACCUUGUAGCGGAUAUCCUGGCGACGAAAGGAUUAAAAUGUCGAUGCUUACUUGACGACAACAAAUUAGUUUUAAAGCUGGAAACGUGUGGGUUGCUCUACUAUUGUAUUUCUGUUCUGUUGACUUUCAUUUAGGCAAUUAAAUUGUUUUGAGCCACGGCGGAUUAAAGAGCAGCAAAAGUCAA
Molecule: long non-coding RNA, 596 nt
Organism: Drosophila montana
Lineage: Eukaryota; Metazoa; Arthropoda; Insecta; Diptera; Drosophilidae
Exons: 3
Source: RefSeq, a predicted model, not a curated record